This 251-nucleotide ribosomal RNA is filed under the name uncultured bacterium. RNAcentral describes it as "partial 16S ribosomal RNA". It matches the Rfam family "Bacterial small subunit ribosomal RNA", at positions 524 to 776 of the family's 1533-position model. The record is from RNAcentral.
UACGGAGGAUGCGAGCGUUAUCCGGAUUUAUUGGGUUUAAAGGGUGCGUAGGCGGCUGUCAAGUCAGCGGUAAAAUUGAGAGGCUCAACCUCUUCCCGCCGUUGAAACUGGUGGUCUUGAGUGGAUGAGAAGUACGCGGAAUGCGUGGUGUAGCGGUGAAAUGCAUAGAUAUCACGCAGAACUCCGAUUGCGAAGGCAGCGUACCGGCAUCCAACUGACGCUGAGGCACGAAAGCGUGGGGAUCAAACAGG